This 327-nucleotide long non-coding RNA is filed under the name Trifolium pratense (red clover). RNAcentral describes it as "long non-coding RNA (TPRA_LNC008983)". The record is from RNAcentral. Lineage: Eukaryota; Viridiplantae; Streptophyta; Magnoliopsida; Fabales; Fabaceae.
CUAUAUUGGGAGGAAUUUUAGAAAAACUGGGGGCAAAAUGGGGAAUCUGUGAAUUUGGUACAUUUUUUAAUCUAAUGAACCAGACCCAUGUUAAUGAGGUUUUGCUUUUUGAGAUAUUCACCAAUUGGGCAGGAGCAAAAAUAAUAGAGUUGGCCCAAUUCAAAACUAACAACUUGUGGGUUCAGAAAAAGGGAAAUUCACAUAUCCCAAUUCAAGGGACAGAAGAAAGGUUACUUUACCUUCCUUGUGGUCUUGGUUCAUUACUAAUAGUGAUUAGAGAUGUCAAAGUGUUAGAUGUGUUAAGGAUGUCUACAUAUGUCAUUUCCC